AAUAUGUGUUCGCUGUGCGCGAUUGACAGCAGCAUGGAGAAAAGAAAUAAACUCCCUGGACAGCAGAAUGUCGAGCGUGCGCCCGUGCGUGGCCGUCCGACUUUGCGUUUACGACUCUGCUUGCGUGAAAGUGAAACUGUUCGCGCGAGCGGCUGUGUGAUAACGAUUGAGGCCCACCACUCCCUCUUGUUCGCAGUGGUCACCACAUGGGUGGGAAAAGCCAGCAUACUUUUGCCUGUAAUUUUUGCGAGUACCGUACGCCAAAGUGGGCUGUCAUGCUGAACCAUCGGCGCACACACACAGGGGAGCGACCGUUUACCUGCCACCUAUGCCCCGGACGGUUUACUCAGAAGGCCUGCCUGAUGCGCCAUGUGCGCACACAUACAGGAGAGAAGCCUUACAAGUGCCGUAUCUGUGGUCUUGCCUUCUUCAGAGGCUACACACGAGACAGACAUGAGUACAGCCAUCUAAGUGCAUGAUUUGAUGAGUACUUGUGGAUGACGCAAUGCCAAGAAAAAGUGUAAAAAAGGCAAGUCAGUGGCAUUUAAAUCUUAAAGAUGCAUUGCAUGAAGAAGAAGAAUGCAUUUUCAGUCUUUGUGAAUGCAGCUGCAUAAACUCAAAAGGGUGGGGUGGGGAUAGGUAGGGGGAAGGGGGAAUAGUUUACAGACAACACAACACCAAGUAGGAGAGCAGCAUACGAAUUACAAGUGAUUCCAAAGAUGCACCUUUUUGAUACUUGAACUGUAUUUACUGUGUUCAUGGGUGUCGCCUUUAGAUUCUUAAAAGAUUAUUCACUGUGACAGCACUGUAUAAUUUGGCAUGUGUUUAUGGCUGGUAGAAAACCAGAGUGCAGAAGCUAAAUAAAGAUAGUGUUUUUUGGAAA
This 883-nucleotide long non-coding RNA is filed under the name Dermacentor andersoni. Its description in RNAcentral is "uncharacterized LOC126536022". The record is from RNAcentral. Lineage: Eukaryota; Metazoa; Arthropoda; Arachnida; Ixodida; Ixodidae.